CGCCAACUUACUAUCAACAAAACGUAAUUUAGUCGCACUGACGAAGGAAGACCAAGCAGGCGAAAAACGAAAGAACGAGAUAUGGUGACGUCGCCGUCGGAAGGUUUCGGCUAACGUCGGUCAUUUCCGGCGGAUCAAGCGGUCGAGUGACAAAUGGGGAGCUACAGUACAUGGGAGUUCAAAAGUUCACUGUGUUCGCUGGAACUACAUGGGAAAAACAGUUAUCAAGUAAAAACAAAACAUUUUUAAAAAUGAA
Xiphophorus maculatus (southern platyfish) is the source of this 256-nucleotide long non-coding RNA. RefSeq lists it as uncharacterized. NCBI's taxonomy places the organism in Eukaryota, Metazoa, Chordata, Actinopteri, Cyprinodontiformes, Poeciliidae. The record is from RefSeq and is a predicted model, not a curated record. The transcript has 2 exons.